UGGGGAAUUUUGGACAAUGGGCGAAAGCCUGAUCCAGCAAUGCCGCGUGUGUGAAGAAGGCCUUCGGGUUGUAAAGCACUUUUGUCCGGAAAGAAAUCCUUGGCUCUAAUACAGUCGGGGGAUGACGGUACCGGAAGAAUAAGCACCGGCUAACUACGUGCCAGCAGCCGCGGUAAUACGUAGGGUGCAAGCGUUAAUCGGAAUUACUGGGCGUAAGGCGUGCGCAGGCGGUUUGCUAAGACCGAUGUGAAAUCCCCGGGCUCAACCUGGGAACUGCAUUGGUGACUGGCAGGCUAGAGUAUGGCAGAGGGGGGUAGAAUUCCACGUGUAGCAGUGAAAUGCGUAGAGAUGUGGAGGAAUACCGAUGGCGAAGGCAGCCCCCUGGGCCAAUACUGACGCUCAUGCACGAAAGCGUGGGGAGCAAACAGGAUUAGAUACCCUGGUAGUCCACGCCCUAAACGAUGUCAACUAGUUGUUGGGGAUUCAUUUCCUUAGUAACGUAGCUAACGCGUGAAGUUGACCGCCUGGGGAGUACGGUCGCAAGAUUAAAACUCAAAUGAAUUGACGGGGUCAUAGCUGUUUCCU
RNAcentral lists this ribosomal RNA (585 nucleotides) under uncultured bacterium. RNAcentral describes it as "partial 16S ribosomal RNA". It matches the Rfam family "Bacterial small subunit ribosomal RNA", at positions 355 to 1375 of the family's 1533-position model. The record is from RNAcentral.